RNAcentral lists this transfer RNA (69 nucleotides) under Pachyramphus minor. Its description in RNAcentral is "tRNA-Asp". Lineage: Eukaryota; Metazoa; Chordata; Aves; Passeriformes; Tyrannidae. The record is from RNAcentral.
GGGAUGUUAGUAAAUUUAUUACAUAGUCUUGUCAAGGCUAAAUAACAGGCGAAAAUCCAGUACAUUCCA